This 1405-nucleotide ribosomal RNA is filed under the name uncultured bacterium. RNAcentral describes it as "bacterial SSU rRNA". It matches the Rfam family "Bacterial small subunit ribosomal RNA". The record is from RNAcentral.
AGUUUGAUCCUGGCUCAGGAUGAACGCUAGCGACAGGCUUAACACAUGCAAGUCGAGGGGCAGCAGGAGCGAAGCAAUUCGCUUGCUGGCGACCGGCGCACGGGUGAGUAACACGUAUGCAACCUGCCCCCGGCUGGGGCAUAAGCGGUAGAAAUGCCGUCUAAUUCCCCAUGCCGCGUCAGAGGGACAUCCCUUUGGCGCGAAAGGAGAAAUCCGGCCGGGGAUGGGCAUGCGGCGCAUUAGGCAGUUGGCGGUGCAACGGACCACCAAACCGACGAUGCGUAGGGGUUCUGAGAGGAAGGCCCCCCACACUGGUACUGAGACACGGACCAGACUCCUACGGGAGGCAGCAGUGAGGAAUAUUGGUCAAUGGGCGAGAGCCUGAACCAGCCAAGUCGCGUGAGGGAAGACGGCCCUACGGGUUGUAAACCUCUUUUGCCGGGGAGCAAAGGCGCCCACGCGUGGGUGUUCGAGAGUACCCGGAGAAAAAGCAUCGGCUAACUCCGUGCCAGCAGCCGCGGUAAUACGGAGGAUGCGAGCGUUAUCCGGAUUUAUUGGGUUUAAAGGGUGCGUAGGCGGGCGGCCAAGUCGGCGGUGAAAGCCCGGGGCUCAACCCCGGCGAGCCGUCGAAACUGGCCGUCUUGAGUGGGCGAGAAGCGCGCGGAAUUCGUGGUGUAGCGGUGAAAUGCAUAGAUAUCACGAAGAACUCCGAUUGCGAAGGCAGCGCGCCGGCGCCCUACUGACGCUGAGGCACGAAAGCGUGGGGGAUCGAACAGGAUUAGAUACCCUGGUAGUCCACGCAGUAAACGAUGAGCGCCAGCUGUCCGGCCCGAUUGGGGGCUGGGUGGCACAGCGAAAGCGUUAAGCGCUCCACCUGGGGAGUACGCCGGCAACGGUGAAACUCAAAGGAAUUGACGGGGGGCCCGCACAAGCGGAGGAACAUGUGGUUUAAUUCGAUGAUACGCGAGGAACCUUACCCGGGCUCAAACGCGGCGGCGAGAUUUUUGAAAGGAGGUCGUAGGCCAGCAAUGGCCAACCGUCGCGAGGUGCUGCAUGGUUGUCGUCAGCUCGAGCCGUGAGGUGUCGGCUUAAGUGCCAUAACGAGCGCAACCCCCAUUGCCAGUUGCCAGCAGGCAAAGCUGGGCACUCUGGCGAGACUGCCAGCGCAAGCUGUGAGGAAGGCGGGGAUGACGUCAAAUCAGCACGGCCCUUACGUCCGGGGCGACACACGUGUUACAAUGGGGAGUACAGAGCGAGGCGAGCCGGCGACGGCGAGCGGACCGCGGAAAGCCCCCCCCAGUUCGGAUCGGAGUCUGCAACCCGACUCCGUGAAGCUGGAUUCGCUAGUAAUCGCGCAUCAGCCAUGGCGCGGUAAAAACGUUCCCGGGCCUUGUACUCACCGCCC